This is a non-coding RNA of Pangasius djambal, 77 nucleotides long. The record is from the annotation of a GenBank genome assembly. Lineage: Eukaryota; Metazoa; Chordata; Actinopteri; Siluriformes; Pangasiidae.
UCCCUGGUGGUCUAGAGGCUAAGGAUCCUGCACCCUCACUAUGCACCACGGCCCGGGUUUGAUUCCCGGGCAGGGAA